AAAGUAUUUUAAAAGAGCAGUUGUAAACCGCAGGCAAGACGUUAAAGAUCACUGGUGCAAAAAAGGCCCCGUGACCCUGGCCUCCUCAAGGCCCCCAGUGGACGCUGCUGUCAAAAGAAUCCUCUGCUCAGAUCUCCCCUCUCCUUGUACUCCCCUCGCCCCCCGCCCCCCAAAACGGAUAGGGCCAGUUUCCAGACAACUGCUUGCAGAGAACUUGCAUGAUCAGGAAUGCGCAGAGAACGUUCCUAGGAAAGAACACAGGAACUGUGCCUGCAACCUCGAAGAGAGCAUGUUUAAUUUUUGCAAAGUGCUUCAGGAGAAUUUUCAAGUGCACACCAAGGAAUCAUUUCAUUCACACCGAAGCUUUCUAAGAAUGAAAAUUACCCAUGCAGCCGCACCAAAGUCUUUGGCAUAUAGGAGAUGGCUUUACUUCAUCCUGCUUUUCAGUGUAAUUCCAUUCCACAAGUAUUUAUUGGACGCACACUCUGCCACUCAGUGCCAGGCUCUGUGAUGGAUUCAAAAUCAAAAGCAGGGCUUCUGAUUAAGUCAUUUAUAAAUUGGCAGGCACUCACCAGGAGCACCACUAAGUUUUUGGACUGGAUGAUUCUUUACAGAUUGUCCUAUGCAUUGUGGGAUAUUAACCAGCAUUUAUGGCCCCUACCCACUUGUAGGGUAAGGUAAAAUGUCAGGCUUUUCUGCCCUCCCGCCAUCAGGAUAGAUGAUGGAUCCUGGAGGUCCCGAAUGCAUGCCUGAUGGUGGGCACCUGGAGUAGGGUGUGGGCAUAGGUAGAUGGGAUUCACCUGGGCUAAGACUGCUUAUAAGGGCGGCAUCACGGGGACGCCAGCAGAAGCCAAGAACGAGCAGAAGCCAAGAGAGAAGCAAGAGAAGCAGAAGCUGAGAGAAGGCCGGAGAACCCAGAUAGAGAAGACUUGCUGGGGCCUGCUGGCCCCCCAGCACCCCUGCCUGCUGUGUACUGGGUAAAUCCCAAUAAAAAGACCUGCAAAAAGCCACUAAGCACUCUGACUCCUCCUUUAUCCGGUCUGCUGGAUCCUAGAAAACCUGCACCAUGU
Talpa occidentalis (Iberian mole) is the source of this 1070-nucleotide long non-coding RNA. RefSeq lists it as uncharacterized. The record is from RefSeq and is a predicted model, not a curated record. Lineage: Eukaryota; Metazoa; Chordata; Mammalia; Eulipotyphla; Talpidae. The transcript has 3 exons.